ACCCUGAUCAGCAAUGCCGCGUGAGUGAAGAAGGCCUCUCGGGUUGUAAAGCUCUUUUGUCAGGGAAGAAACGGUAGUAGCUAAUAUCUAUUACUAAUGACGGUACCUGAAGAAUAAGCACCGGCUAACUACGUGCCAGCAGCCGCGGUAAUACGUAGGGUGCAAGCGUUAAUCGGAAUUACUGGGCGUAAAGCGUGCGCAGGCGGUUGUGUAAGUCAGAUGUGAAAUCCCCGGGCUCAACCUGGGAAUUGCAUUUGAGACUGCACGGCUAGAGUGUGUCAGAGGGGGGUAGAAUUCCACGUGUAGCAGUGAAAUGCGUAGAUAUGUGGAGGAAUACCGAUGGCGAAGGCAGCCCCCUGGGAUAACACUGACGCUCAUGCACGAAAGCGUGGGGAGCAAACAGGAUUAGAUACCCUGGUAGUCCACGCCCUAAACGAUGUCUACUAGUUGUCGGGUCUUAAUUGACUUGGUAACGCAGCUAACGCGUGAAGUAGACCGCCUGGGGAGUACGGUCGCAAGAUUAAAACUCAAAGGAAUUGACGGGGACCCGCACAAGCGGUGGAUGAUGUGGAUUAAUUCGAUGCAACGCGAAAAACCUUACCUACCCUUGACAUGGAUGGAAUCCCGAAGAGAU
This 634-nucleotide ribosomal RNA is filed under the name Herbaspirillum sp. Se2Pt_398. RNAcentral's name for it is "bacterial SSU rRNA". It matches the Rfam family "Bacterial small subunit ribosomal RNA", at positions 380 to 1007 of the family's 1533-position model. Lineage: Bacteria; Pseudomonadati; Pseudomonadota; Betaproteobacteria; Burkholderiales; Oxalobacteraceae. The record is from RNAcentral.